AAAAAUCAACAUAAAAAACAUUAAAAAAAAAAACAUAAAACAGAAGCAGUAUUGUAACAAAUUUAAUAGACUUUUUAAAUGGUUCACACCAAAAAAGAAGCAAUUAAAGAGAUCAAGAAAUAAGGCAGUAUUUUGGCAGACACUGUUGGUUGCCUACCCACUGGUAUUAACCAGUCUCCCUUUUCUAGAUGCCUGCUGCCCACCUAAAUCUAAAUGCCAGACGCUUGCUCUCCUAAUUGCUUGCAACUGAGCAUAUGCGUAGUGGGCUUCCCAGGCGGUGCUAGUGGUAAAGAACCUGCCUGAAGACCCCCUGGGUAGGGCAUGGCAGCCCACUCCAGUAUUCUUGCCUGGAGAAUCCCAUGGACAGAAGAGCUUGGCGGGCUACAGUCCAUGGGGUUGCAAAGAGUCAGGACUGAAGUGACAGUACAGUACACAUACGUGUAGCAGUGCUGACCACCGAAGGUCUAAGCAAAAGACUGCAAGUGAGCUUCAGUUAAAUAUUCUUUACUUAACAAAAUAGGAGGAAAUGGUCUUCCCUUACACAGGACACAUCUCUGUGUGAUAUCUGGGAUUGUGGCUGCUUUACAACCAGACAACGCAAGAAGCCAAGACUGGCACAGGCGAUAGAAUUGCUUGUGUGUUUGACACUGUAGAGCUGAUGAAACAAUUCAGAACUGCUCUAUGCUUGGUUGUAUGUGAAAUAAAUUCCAUGCCUCUCUGUUAAACAUUUAUAUUCAACUUUGUAUAUCUGAGUACUGGGAAAAGUAUUUUCACAUAUAGUAUAUAUACAUACACAUGUUUAUUCAACUUUAAUUAGUAAAAAAAAGUAUCAGUUCAGUCGCUCACUCAGUCGUGUCCACCUCUUUGCAACCCCAUGGACUGCAGCACACCAGGCUUCCCUGUCCAUCACCAAGCCCCACAGCUUGCUCAAACUCAUAUCCAUCCAGUUGGUGAUGCCAUCCAACCUCUGUCAUCCCAUCCUCUGUCAUCCCCUUCUCCUGCCCUCAAUCUUUCCCAGCAUCAGGGUCUUUUCCAAUAAGUCAGUUCUCUGCGUCAGGUGGCCAAGGUAUUGGAGCUUUAGCACUGGUCCUUCCAAGGAAUAUUCAGGACUGAUUUCAGAUUUUUUUCAGAUAUUCAAAUAUUCAGAAUGCUUCAUAUAAAUGUUCAGAAAAUGUUUACAUUUAGCUUUUUAUAGUAUAUGUGAAAUUAUGGGGAAAACAUUAUUUUCCUAAGUAUUUUCUUAAACAUAUGUAUGUGUAUAUGUAUACAACUUUGACAAGAUGUAGGAAAUGCUUGUUUACAUUCAGCAUUUACAGUGUAUGCAUAUAUUCAGUUUUUUUAUAGUAUGUCUGAAGUCCAGGAAAAGUCGUAUUUUCCUGAAUAUAGGAAGAACCAAGAAAAAAACUGAUGAAAGCGCUACAGCAUUUUAUUCCUCUAGUACUAGAGUAACUUACAGAUAAAAUCUAACUCUUCAAGAUUUUAUAAAGAGUAUCAGCUAUGAGGCUAGCAUAACCCCUGUACCAAAUUUGGAAAAGGGCAGCAUCCAGGUCCAAUCAGCUACAAAAAUAAUCCAGUGUACUCAUGGUAUAUGAAUGUUCCAAUUAAAAUAGCAAAUCAAAUCUAGCAGCCCAUUAAAAGAAAACAGGGUGGUGGUGUUUGUUUUUUUUCUUUUAAUCUGAAAUAAAAUGGUUCAUGACCUGGCCUGUCAGAUUGUAGAAACUGUAAUGUGUAAAUGUAGUGUUUGCACAUUGAAAACUAGACACUUAACUUAUCCAUCAAAAAUAGUAAACUGUUAACAGCAAAUGAUACUCAAUUGCUAUGAGAUUGUCCAUUAAUUGUGCAUCUGUAGACAUUCACAGCAUUUGGAAUAAUCACCACCAUCAGAUUCCACCUUUGCCCAUGCUUCAGAAAUACAUACUUUGAUGUACACAUAUAUUAUGCAACAAAUUAAAUCGGUCAUAACUAAACCAGUCAACCCGUAGGAGGACAAUGUACAACAAAAAUUUAAGCAUUUUUUAAAAGAGGGAAAUGAAAAAAAAUAAAAGAGGGAAAUGAUUACUAAAUUUUAUCUAUACUUUCUCUACAAUUUCUUAUAUUGAGUUAUAAUAAAAGUUGUAAUAAAUGUUAAGAAAUGAUUGUAGACUGGUGGUUGCCCAGGGGGAGAGAGGUGAGAGUGGGUUGGAUUGGGAGUUUGGGAUUAGCGGAUACAAACUGGUAUAUACAGAAUGGAUAAACAACAAGGUCCUACUGUGUAACACAGGGUCCUACUGUGUAGCACAGGAUAUUCAAUAUCCUAUGAUAAACCAUAAUGGAAAAGAAUAUUAAAAAGUAUGAAUCACUGCUGUACAGAAAUAAACAUUGUAAAUCAACUAUACCUCAAUAAAAAAUAAUUCUGAUAUUUUGCUCAUAGCUCAGAUGGUAG
Bos taurus (domestic cattle) is the source of this 2422-nucleotide long non-coding RNA. NCBI's taxonomy places the organism in Eukaryota, Metazoa, Chordata, Mammalia, Artiodactyla, Bovidae. The record is from Ensembl.